Molecule: unclassified non-coding RNA, 390 nt
Filed under: soil metagenome
Description: partial contains 5.8S ribosomal RNA, internal transcribed spacer 2, and large subunit ribosomal RNA
Rfam family: 5.8S ribosomal RNA (bases 1-122)
Source: RNAcentral
GAUGAAGAACGCAGCGAAAUGCGAUACUUGGUGUGAAUUGCAGAAUCCCGUGAACCAUCGAGUCUUUGAACGCAAGUUGCGCCCGAAGCCAUUAGGCCGAGGGCACGCCUGCCUGGGCGUCACACGUCGUUGCCCCCCCAUCUACUCCUUCGGGAUUGCGGGGGGCGGAUGAUGGCCUCCCGUGCGCCUCGUCGCGCGGUUGGCAUAAAUACCAAGUCCUCGGCGACGCACGCCACGACAAUCGGUGGUUGCGAAACCUCGGUUGCCAGUCGUGUGCGGUCGUCGCGCAUCGAGGGCUCGAAAAAAUUGCCGGGCUCCGGCUCGGCUUUCAACGCGACCCCAGGUCAGGCGGGGUUACCCGCUGAAUUUAAGCAUAUCAAUAGCGGAGGA